This 279-nucleotide ribosomal RNA is filed under the name uncultured bacterium. RNAcentral describes it as "partial 16S ribosomal RNA". It matches the Rfam family "Bacterial small subunit ribosomal RNA", at positions 506 to 784 of the family's 1533-position model. The record is from RNAcentral.
UGCCAGCCGCCGCGGUAAUACGGAGGGUGCGAGCGUUAAUCGGAAUUACUGGGCGUAAAGAGCACGUAGGCGGUUGUGUAAGUUGGAUGUGAAAGUCCCGGGCUUAACCUGGGAAAGCCAUUUGAUACUGCACGACUGGAAUACAAGAGAGGUAAGUGGAAUUUCCGGUGUAGCGGUGAAAUGCGUAGAGAUCGGAAGGAACACCGGUGGCGAAGGCGGCUGCCUGGCCUGAUACUGACACUGAGGCACGAAAGCGUGGGUAGCAAACAGGAUUAGAUA